AGAGUUUGAUCCUGGCUCAGAAUGAACGCUGGCGGCAGGCUUAACACAUGUAAGUCGAACGAGAACCCAUCUUCGGAUGGCAGACAGUGGCAAACGGGUGAGUAACACGUGGGAAUGUACCUUUUAGUCUGGGACAACAGUUGGAAACGACUGCUAAUACCGGAUAAGCUCUACGGAGGAAAGAUUUAUCGCUAAAAGAUCAGCCCGCGCAAGAUUAGCUAGUUGGUAAGGUAAUGGCUUACCAAGGCUACGAUCUUUAGCUGGUUUGAGAGGAUGAUCAGCCACACUGGGACUGAGAUACGGCCCAGACUCCUACGGGAGGCAGCAGUGGGGAAUAUUGCACAAUGGAGGAAACUCUGAUGCAGCCAUGCCGCGUGAGUGAAGAAGGCCUUAGGGUUGUAAAACUCUUUCAGCAGGGAAGAUAAUGACGGUACCUGCAGAAGAAGCCCCGGCUAACUCCGUGCCAGCAGCCGCGGUAAUACGGAGGGGGCUAGCGUUAUUCGGAAUUACUGGGCGUAAAGCGUGCGUAGGCGGUCGAUAAAGUCAGAUGUGAAAGCCCGGGGCUCAACCCCGGAACUGCAUUUGAAACUCAUUGACUAGAAUAUGGUAGAGGAUGGUGGAAUUCCUAGUGUAGAGGUGAAAUUCGUAGAUAUUAGGAGGAACACCAGUGGCGAAGGCGACCAUCUGGACCAUUAUUGACGCUAAGGCACGAAAGCGUGGGGAGCGAACGGGAUUAGAUACCCCGGUAGUCCACGCCGUAAACGAUGUGUGCUAGUUGUUGGGACCUUGAGUUUCAGUGACACAGCUAACGCGUUAAGCACACCGCCUGGGGAGUACGGUCGCAAGACUAAAACUCAAAGGAAUUGACGGGGACCCGCACAAGCGGUGGAGCAUGUGGUUUAAUUCGAUGCUACGCGAAGAACCUUACCACCCUUUGACAUCUUGAUCGCGAGGACCAGAGAUGGACCUUUUCAGUUAGGCUGGAUCAAUGACAGGUGUUGCAUGGCUGUCGUCAGCUCGUGUCGUGAGAUGUUGGGUUAAGUCCCGCAACGAGCGCAACCCUCAUCCUUUGUUACCAGCGGGUUAUGCCGGGAACACUAAGGAAACUGCUAGUGAUAAGCUAGAGGAAGGUGGGGACGACGUCAAGUCAUCAUGGCCCUUACAGGGUGGGCUACACACGUGCUACAAUGGCAGUGACAAUGGGAAGCUACACAGCGAUGUGAUGCGAAUCUCAAAAAGCUGCCUCAGUUCGAAUUGGACUCUGCAACUCGAGUCCAUGAAGUCGGAAUCGCUAGUAAUCGCGGAUCAGCAUGCCGCGGUGAAUACGUUCCCGGGUCUUGUACACAUUGCCCGUCACGCCAUGGGAGUUGGUUUUACCCGAAGCCGGUGGGCUAACCUGUUUACAGGAAGCAGCCGUCCACGGUAAGAUUAGCGACUGGGGUGAAGUCGUAACAAGGUA
RNAcentral lists this ribosomal RNA (1459 nucleotides) under metagenome. RNAcentral describes it as "bacterial SSU rRNA". It matches the Rfam family "Bacterial small subunit ribosomal RNA". The record is from RNAcentral.